AAAUUGAAGAGUUUGAUCAUGGCUCAGAUUGAACGCUGGCGGCAGGCCUAACACAUGCAAGUCGAACGGUAGCACAGAGAGCUUGCUCUCGGGUGACGAGUGGCGGACGGGUGAGUAAUGUCUGGGAAACUGCCCGAUGGAGGGGGAUAACUACUGGAAACGGUAGCUAAUACCGCAUAAUGUCGCAAGACCAAAGUGGGGGACCUUCGGGCCUCACACCAUCGGAUGUGCCCAGAUGGGAUUAGCUUGUUGGUGGGGUAACGGCUCACCAAGGCGACGAUCCCUAGCUGGUCUGAGAGGAUGACCAGCCACACUGGAACUGAGACACGGUCCAGACUCCUACGGGAGGCAGCAGUGGGGAAUAUUGCACAAUGGGCGCAAGCCUGAUGCAGCCAUGCCGCGUGUAUGAAGAAGGCCUUCGGGUUGUAAAGUACUUUCAGCGGGGAGGAAGGCGUUGUGGUUAAUAACCGCAGCGAUUGACGUUACCCGCAGAAGAAGCACCGGCUAACUCCGUGCCAGCAGCCGCGGUAAUACGGAGGGUGCAAGCGUUAAUCGGAAUUACUGGGCGUAAAGCGCACGCAGGCGGUUUGUUAAGUCAGAUGUGAAAUCCCCGGGCUCAACCUGGGAACUGCAUUUGAAACUGGCAAGCUUGAGUCUCGUAGAGGGGGGUAGAAUUCCAGGUGUAGCGGUGAAAUGCGUAGAGAUCUGGAGGAAUACCGGUGGCGAAGGCGGCCCCCUGGACGAAGACUGACGCUCAGGUGCGAAAGCGUGGGGAGCAAACAGGAUUAGAUACCCUGGUAGUCCACGCCGUAAACGAUGUCUAUUUGGAGGUUGUGCCCUUGAGGCGUGGCUUCCGGAGCUAACGCGUUAAAUAGACCGCCUGGGGAGUACGGCCGCAAGGUUAAAACUCAAAUGAAUUGACGGGGGCCCGCACAAGCGGUGGAGCAUGUGGUUUAAUUCGAUGCAACGCGAAGAACCUUACCUGGUCUUGACA
This 994-nucleotide ribosomal RNA is filed under the name Salmonella enterica subsp. enterica serovar Alachua. RNAcentral describes it as "bacterial SSU rRNA". It matches the Rfam family "Bacterial small subunit ribosomal RNA", at positions 1 to 986 of the family's 1533-position model. The record is from RNAcentral. Lineage: Bacteria; Pseudomonadati; Pseudomonadota; Gammaproteobacteria; Enterobacterales; Enterobacteriaceae.